AUUUAGAUGCAUCAAAAUGUUCAUGUUCAAAAGUAGCCAUUCAAUUGAAUAUUCUCUCACUAUUAUCCUGGGGACAAGGAAUUAAUUAUGAACUAGUGGCAGGGUUUGGAGUUCAAUCCUUGAUUUAUGGGAUGAUUAGGAAAAAUGGGCAUGGCGGGCAUAGAAUAGGGCCUGUUGAGAAAGGUUCGGAUCUCUUGACAUGCACAAUUAAGCUGGGAAUAUUUAUUCGACACAUGUGGAGCUUUUGAUCAUGCAGUCGAUCGUUGAAUUGAUUGUAUGCCUGACUAAUUUAUAUAAGUUGGGUAAUUUUCUGCAUGAUUGCUCUCACACCAAGUUAAAGCAUUUGUUCAUAUGCAUUUAUCAUAUGACAACAUCUAAUUUCUGUUAUUAGUUCUUAAUAUGUUUUGGAUAGACAGGCUUUAGUUACAAUGGAAGAAGAAAUAUCUAUAUCUGGGAUUCCAGAAGGUUCAAGAAAGAUCAAUGGGAAAUACAUUUAAUCUCAUCUCCUUUUAUGUUUAGAAGCUGUCCAUGAAAGAUUGAAG
RNAcentral lists this unclassified non-coding RNA (542 nucleotides) under Hevea brasiliensis (rubber tree). Lineage: Eukaryota; Viridiplantae; Streptophyta; Magnoliopsida; Malpighiales; Euphorbiaceae. The record is from RNAcentral.